UACGUAGGGCGCAAGCGUUGUCCGGAAUUAUUGGGCGUAAAGAGCUCGUAGGUGGCUUGUCGCGUCUGCCGUGAAAGCCCAUGGCUUAACUAUGGGUCUGCGGUGGAUACGGGCAGGCUAGAGGCUGGUAGGGGCAAGCGGAAUUCCUGGUGUAGCGGUGAAAUGCGCAGAUAUCAGGAGGAACACCGGUGGCGAAGGCGGCUUGCUGGGCCAGUUCUGACGCUGAGGAGCGAAAGCGUGGGGAGCGAACAGG
Molecule: ribosomal RNA, 253 nt
Filed under: uncultured bacterium
Lineage: Bacteria
Description: partial 16S ribosomal RNA
Rfam family: Bacterial small subunit ribosomal RNA
Source: RNAcentral